AGAGUUUGAUCCUGGCUCAGAAUCAACGCUGGCGGCGUGCCUAACACAUGCAAGUCGAACGAGAAAGUGGAGCAAUCCAUGAGUAAAGUGGCGUACGGGUGAGUAACACGUGGAUCAUCUACCUCUUGGUGGGGAAUAACCCUGGGAAACCGGGGCUAAUACCGCAUAAGCCUGCGAAGGGAAAGCAGCAAUGCGCCGAGAGAGGAGUCCGCGGCCGAUUAGCUUGUUGGUAGGGUAAUGGCCUACCAAGGCAAUGAUCGGUAGCCGGCCUGAGAGGGCACACGGCCACACUGGCACUGAAACACGGGCCAGACUCCUACGGGAGGCAGCAGUGGGGAAUCUUGCACAAUGGGGGCAACCCUGAUGCAGCGACGCCGCGUGAGCGAUGAAGCCCUUCGGGGUGUAAAGCUCUUUCGGCAGGAACGAUAAUGACGGUACCUGCAGAAGAAGCUGCGGCUAACUACGUGCCAGCAGCCGCGGUAAUACGUAGGCAGCAAGCGUUGUUCGGAGUUACUGGGCGUAAAGAGUGUGUAGGCGGUUCUCUAAGUUCCGUGUGAAAUCUCCCGGCUCAACUGGGAGGGUGCGCGGAAAACUGGAGGGCUUGAGUAUGGGAGAGGAAAGCGGAAUUCCUGGUGUAGCGGUGAAAUGCGUAGAUAUCAGGAGGAACACCUGCGGUGUAGACAGCUUUCUGGACCAUCACUGACGCUGAGACACGAAAGCGUGGGUAGCAAACAGGAUUAGAUACCCUAGUAGUCC
Molecule: ribosomal RNA, 756 nt
Filed under: uncultured bacterium
Lineage: Bacteria
Description: bacterial SSU rRNA
Rfam family: Bacterial small subunit ribosomal RNA
Source: RNAcentral